AUCCCUUUCGUGUCUAUUUUCAAUGAGCCCUACUGCCACCACCUGGCACAUCUCCCCCAAGGACACGCCACCUUCAACCAUAGUGCUUCAAGGUGACGGGAUCACUCUGAUUGGGAAGCGCACCUGCUUUAUCACCUCCCAGCCCCUCCCUCCGAACUAUCAGAAACCAGCCGCCUCCCUCUGCCAAGACCACUCCCCUACUGGCAGGAGACCCUGCAGGCAAAGGUCAUUCUCACGGUGGGCUGCCUCUUCUGGAAGGAUCCAGCCCCAAGAUGAGGCUGCCACAGGGCCCGGUUCUGUCGAUGCCUGCAGGUAAG
This is a long non-coding RNA of Vulpes vulpes (red fox), 317 nucleotides long. The record is from Ensembl. Lineage: Eukaryota; Metazoa; Chordata; Mammalia; Carnivora; Canidae.